Molecule: long non-coding RNA, 128 nt
Organism: Suncus etruscus (white-toothed pygmy shrew)
Lineage: Eukaryota; Metazoa; Chordata; Mammalia; Eulipotyphla; Soricidae
Exons: 2
Source: RefSeq, a predicted model, not a curated record
GUUAGGGUUUCAACUUAUGAAUGUUGUGGGGAUACAUUCAGACACUAGAAUAUAACUGUGUUUUAAUUUGAUUAGCAUUUCAUUGUUAGCAUUUCAGAAUAAGGUAGUCUUGCUCAGUCUCAAUUGUU